This 2637-nucleotide ribosomal RNA is filed under the name Triticum aestivum (bread wheat). RNAcentral describes it as "partial small subunit ribosomal RNA". The record is from RNAcentral. Lineage: Eukaryota; Viridiplantae; Streptophyta; Magnoliopsida; Poales; Poaceae.
AUGGCGGCGGCCGUGGUUGUCAUCAUGGUCUUGGCGGCGGCGGUGGCAGCGGGUGGCGCGGCGACGGAUCAGGCGGCGCCGCAGCGGAUUCUGCUGGACACGGACAUGGACACCGACGACCUCUUGGCGCUCAUGUACAUCCUCAAGCAGAACCGCUCCGAGUUCGAGCUCAAGGCAGUUACCAUCAAUGUGAACGCGUGGAGUGAUGCCGGGCAUGCUGUGAAUCAUCUCUAUGAUAUCCUCUACAUGAUGGGCCGCGACGACAUUCUGGUUGGCAUUGGUGGCGACGGUGGGAUAUCAGAUGCCGGCACCAUAUAUCCCAACGUUGGCGGUUAUUUACCUCUGAUUGACCAGGGGAUCACAACCGUCGGGGACUGCCGGUACAGAAAAGCUGUUCCUCUGGAAGGUGGUGGACGGUUGGACAUUGACACAAACUGGGGAAUUAGGAGGAGCUUCCUUCCGCAGGGAAACAGAAGAUAUAUACCAUUUCAGCAACCUACAACACAGCAAGUAAUGAUCGACACAAUAUCUGCUGGCCCUACAACCGUCAUUCUCACAGGGUCACAUACAAACUUUGCCAUUUUCCUCAUGACUUAUCCACACCUGAAAGGAAAUGUCAAACACAUAUACACUAUGGGUGGUGGUGUGAGAUCGAAGAACCCGACAGGUUGCUGUCCAAAAGAUGUUACCACAGCUUGUACACCACAGCAAUGCGGCGAUAUUGGUAACCUGUUUUCUAGCUACAGUACCAAUCCCUAUGCAGAAUUCAACAUAUUUGGAGAUCCUUUUGCUGCAUAUCAGGUGUUUCAUUCUGGCAUUCCAAUCACACUUGUCCCUCUUGAUGCAACUAAUACGAUUCCAGUCAAUGAAGAGUUCUUUUAUGCAUUCCAACAACACCAAAGUACAUUCGAGGCAGAAUACUGUUUCAAGUCAUUGAAAAUGGCUCGAGACACAUGGUCUGAUGAUCAAUUCCAUGCAAGCUAUUUUAUGUGGGAUUCCUUUACUUCUGGUGUAGCCAUAUCUGGCAUGCGCAAUGACAAGGACUGCCUGCAUGGAAAUGAUUUUGCUGAGCUGGAAUACAUGAACAUUACAGUAAUAACUUCAAAUGAACCAUAUGGCAUAUAUGAUGGCUCAAAUCCAUUAUUCGAUGGUCAUGCUGUUCCCAAGUUUGGUCUUAAAAAGGGUGGAGUUCAUAGUGGUCAUGUUCAAACUGGAAUUGUAGAUAGCUUCUGUAUUAUAGAGGGAAGUAGGAAAGGGAGAUGUGAGGAUGGAUACACUAAGGAAAUUUCUGGUCUAGAAGCAGUCCGUGUUCGUGUUGCCACAAAGGCUAAAUCAAAUGUGGAUAAAAAUAGCCGUUUGGAUAGGGAAUUUUUCAAGAGCUUCCUAGAGGUCUUAACUCUCCGUGAUAACACAGGCCGUUUCGACAUUACAGCACAAUUUCCAUUCUACAGAGAGGUUCUUUACAAACCAAACUUUGUUAACAAAAGUAGAGGGAAAGUAACCAUCUUUGAUAUGGACAUGAGUGCUGGAGAUUUCGUCUCCCUUAUAUAUCUCUUGAAGGCGCCUGUUGAAGAAAUAGAUUUGAAGGGGAUUUUCGUCAGCGGCAAUGGUUGGGCGAAUGCCGCAACUAUUGAUAUCGUUUAUGACAUUCUACAUAUGAUGGGUCGUGAUGACAUUCCUGUUGGCCGUGGCACUUCCACCGCGUUAGGCACUGGAAUCCUUGGCUGCAAGUAUGUCAGUGCUAUUCCCCAAGGGAGUGGUGGACUUCUCGACUCUGACACUCUGUAUGGACUAGCUCGGUCUUUGCCACGAAGUCCUAGAAGGUACACUGCUGAAAAUUCAGUAGAACAUGGCGCUCCUAGAAAUACUGGUAAUCCGGAACUUCGGCAACCAUUGGCUUUUGAAGUUUGGCAGUCUGUUAAAAAGCAACUUGAUCCAAGUGAGAAGAUCACUAUACUUACCAAUGGACCUCUUACAAAUUUGGCCAAUAUUGUGCUCUCUGACAGGAAUGCAAGUUCUGUAAUAAAGAGUGUAUAUGUUGUUGGAGGCCAUAUCAGAGAUGAAAAUGAUUCAAACGGCAACGUGUUCACUGUUCCAUCUAAUAGAUAUGCGGAGUUCAAUCUGUUUCUUGAUCCCCUAGCUGCGAAAGUAGUUCUAGAAUCCACUAUGGAUAUCACUUUGAUUCCUCUUAGCUCUCAGAGAAAAGCUUCUUCCUUUCAGACUCUCCUUGAAUCUCUGGAGUAUGCUGAAAAUACUCCAGAAUCAAGUUUUGUCCUCCACUUGUUGUCAUUGCUGCAUGACUUGCAACAGAAGCACCGGCUGUACCAUCAUAUGGGUAUAUUUCUGGGAGAACUACUUGGUGCUGUUUAUUUGGUGGAAGGAUCAAACAUGGAACAUUCAUUAUUACUGAAGCCAAUAAGCAUUAUUGCUGACAAUACAACAAGCACGGAUGGACAGGUGGUAGUCAACGAACAGAGUGCAAAUUUGGUGAAGGUACUAGAGGAUUUCGAUAGCGACGAAUAUUACAGUCGAGUUGCCAACCAUCUAGGCAACAUGGAGCGAUCUGCCGUUAUUGGUAGUUUUACAGAACAGAGGGCAUCGUGGAGCAGGCAACCAGAUAACUUGAGAGUACGCUGA